RNAcentral lists this ribosomal RNA (876 nucleotides) under uncultured archaeon. Its description in RNAcentral is "bacterial SSU rRNA". It matches the Rfam family "Archaeal small subunit ribosomal RNA", at positions 21 to 903 of the family's 1478-position model. The record is from RNAcentral.
CCUGACUGCUAUCGGAUUGAUACUAAGCCAUGCGAGUCUUUGUAGUAAUACAAGGCAGACGGCUCAGUAACACGUAGUCAACCUACCCUAUGGACAAGAAUAAUCUCGGGAAACUGGGCAUAAUUCUUGAUAGAUCAUAAUGCCUGGAAUGGUUUAUGGUUAAAAUGAUUCGUCGCCAUAGGAUGGGACUGCGGCCUAUCAGCUUGUUGGUGAGGUAAUGGCCCACCAAGGCGAUUACAGGUACGGGCUCUGAGAGGAGAAGCCCGGAGAUGGGUACUGAGACACGGACCCAGGCCCUAUGGGGCGCAGCAGGCGAGAAAACUUUGCAAUGUGCGAAAGCACGACAAGGUUAAUCCGAGUGAUUUCUGCUAAAGAAAUCUUUUGCCAGUCAUAAAACCACUGGUGAAUAAGGGGUGGGCAAGUUCUGGUGUCAGCCGCCGCGGUAAAACCAGCACCUCAAGUGGUCAGGAUGAUUAUUGGGCCUAAAGCAUCCGUAGCCGGCUUUGUAAGUUUUCGGUUAAAUCCAUGUGCUCAACGCAUGGGCUGCCGAAAAUACUGCAUAGCUAGGGAGUGGGAGAGGUAGACGGUACUCGGUAGGAAGGGGUAAAAUCCUUUGAUCUAUCGAUGACCACCUGUGGCGAAGGCGGUCUACCAGAACACGUUCGACGGUGAGGGAUGAAAGCUGGGGGAGCAAACCGGAUUAGAUACCCGGGUAGUCCCAGCUGUAAACGAUGCAGACUCGAUGAUGCAUUGGCAUAUAGCCAGUGCAGUGUCGCAGGGAAGCCGUUAAGUCUGCCGCCUGGGAAGUACGUACGCAAGUAUGAAACUUAAAGGAAUUGGCGGGGGAGCACCACCAAGGGGUGAAGCCUGCGGUUC